CACGUGCUGCAGCAUGUCAUCAAGCUGCAUGCACUUCAACCAAAACAUGUAACAGCAGCAUGGUUGGCCAAUUUCAACACCUUCUCCUAUAAACGAGACCGAUGAUUGAGUUCCUGGCGACGUCAUGGAGGUGUUCGACGAGCUAUGUUGGAAACUGGCCGUGAUCGUUAAGGUUUCCGAAGGAAACAACUUUUUUGUGAGGAUUCUUGGAUCGAAUAGCGAACUCGAAGUACAUCGAUCUCGAUUGCGUGUUUGACAAUCUUGGGAAGAUGGCAAGUGGUUCCUCGUUGGAAAGGGUUCGUCAAAGUCCUUAUCGCCUAAGAGAAAAAUAUCGUUGCUUGGCUACUUGGAUGUUAGUGGACAUAAGAAGAGGGUAAUUGAAAAAGGUAUUGUUGGUGGUAAAAGGAUAAUAGUUCGACUUCCUUCACCAACUUCUAAAAAGGUAGAUGCAUUUGUUUCCCCAAACAAUGUACUGGGUGAAAGAUGUAGGCCUUCUUCAUUUAAUAGAACUGAUGAUAUCGUGAGUUAUGCAUCAUCUGUUGGUAGCUUUAGUGUUUUAGGUAAUAAUGGUCUUAACUUGUCUCCUAGUUAUGUAACAAAAGGUUAUGAAAACUUAGAGGAUUAUUGUAGCGAUGCCGACUCUUAUUGGGAAAGGAGAUGUAGAAAAGAAGGAAGUUUUGGUUACAGUAGUGGAGGAUCGGGAACGAAUUUCCACAGGUCAGAACUACACGUCUACCAGCAAGCUCUUGAGGCAUUGUAUAUGUCUGGGCCUUUGACAUGGGAAGAAGAAGCAAAGAAUACCUCAUUGUCACUAUUGGAGGCAUCAAUACAUAGCUUCAAAAGCCAUGAUUGGGUUUAAGUUUGGCACCUCUUGCAGUUGACAACCUGGCAACAUCCAUGGUUUAUUCCCUAAAGAGUCCCUUAAACCAUACUUUUGGUAUGAAUAUUUUUAUAAAUCUUUUCAAAUUUUGAUUUUUCUUUUGAAAUAAUGGUAUAGGUCAUUAUAUCUGAUGUAGAUGCCGAUAAAUCUAGAUAAUCUUAAAAGAUGCGUUUCAGUUUUAGUAUGUAAAUUGAAAGGUUGUUGCACUUAAAAAGUAUUCAAGUUGUAAUAGCCAUAAAUUUUGGUAUUUCUGGAUGACCAUAUCCAAUAUUGGAACAUUUUAGGCUGCAUAAUUGAUAAAAUGCUCUGAACCUUCCCUACUCUCUCUGCAGAAAGACUUCUUGUAUUAACUGUCUGAGUAGACAAGUUUAAUUUGUUGCCUUAAGCUACAUUCUAAUUGUAUAAACAAGGUGAUGUUGAACUAGUUGAAAUUGAAGUUUCCAUACCAUGAUCAAAUGGUGUUUUAACAUCAUUGUUGGUUGCUUGAUAUUGCGAGAUGGGUAUUUUUGAGCCCCUUCAAGCAACUCCCAGUUUGAAAAUCAUCACCUGCCCAUGAAAGUUCUGUAAGAAAAAUUCUUGCAUUAUGUACUAUUAUUUUUUAUCUUUUUUUAUGGAUUCUGUUUGAGAAAAGAUCAUUGUUGUGUUUAACGGGUUGGUUUUCCCUGAUUAUGUACAGUGCAUGAGAAUCCAUCAUACAGGUAACAUGUUUCCCUAAUCUUGAUCAGUGUUUGAUGCUUUGAGAGACUUUUUUUGAUUGAUGUUUGACUUUAGAAAUUCGAAUAUUGGAUUCCUAUUUAUUGUUGUUACAUGCAGUAUAAGCUUCAGUUCAUGCCUUUCGGUACUAGUUAGAUUCCUCCCAAAUCCCAAUUGGUAAGUUCUGUUUGCUAGUAUUUGCUAUUUGCAUGGGUUAUUCCACCUGUUUGCACUCGUAAUAUAUCAUGGUUAACUGGCCUUCACUUUAGACACCUCCAUGUUUCUUGUCACAUAUGAAACUACAGAUCAUGAGGCAGAGACGGGUCUGUAGAGUAGCCCCAAUUCUUGUUCCUUUUGAAGUCAAAUUUCAAACCUAUACUCCUCUUGGUAUUGGUUUUUUGCAUAAUGCCAUUGUUUAAGUCUUAAUCUGGAACAUGAAUCCAAAUAUUUUAACACAAUCAUUUCUUUAAUAGAAAAACAAAUUGAAUUUUAUUUUUCAAGGGCAAUCUCAUAACUCUUUUAGGAUUCCAAAGAAUGCCAAUGUCGUGGAGGGAAUGAUAAGGCAUUUUCAGGAAUUGUUUCAAGUGAAGUAUUGUUUAUUGAGCUUCUGUCAUGUAAAUAUUGUUAGUUUUUUGUUCACAAGUGUGAGAUUGAAAUGUUAGGCAUUUUCCAUCACUUCAGCCCCGACAGUAAUUUCUUCCUCAAUUGUUCUCUACCAUCUGUUUUGCCUAUAUCAACUUUUGAUGUUUUCAUGUUCACUGUGAUGUUUUUUUUCUAGAAACUUUCUACUUUGGGAGAAAAGGAAUUUCUUUUGGUCCAUCUACAAGUAAUUGAUUUAAAAUAUUAUUAUUCCUGAUAAGAAUUGAUUAGAAAUAUUAAUAUGCUUUAUAGAAGAAAAGAAUUGAUGCUUUUGCUGCCAAUAUUUCAGUUGCCAAACAAACGCGUAAUUGUUCACUGAAGCUAGUUAAUAGUACAUGUUAAUGCUGAGUUUUUGCUCAUAGGUUGAACUUAUAAUUAAUUAAUGAAGAAAAAUGUUACAUUGGACCUUAAUAAAUGGAAAAAGCACAUUAGUUUGUUACGUAAGCAAUGGAACAAAACAGUUUUAGUUCGUAUGUGAUUCGAUUUUUGGACAUUAAAGCAGAGAACUUGAGUUAUUAGUUUUCUUAGUGUAAAAUAUGUUGUCUCCGGCUGGUUCCCAUUGGAGUUAUACCACACCUUCACAGUGUUUUUUUGCCUACAAAUUUAUCGACCACCAGGGGACCUUUGCAGCCAUUGUUGGCAUAACCAACAAUAAAUGAGAGCACAUGGUUUCUUCUGAUUGUUGAUUUCUGCAACCGAGCUUCCUUUUCUGGCUAUGAGUUCAAUGGGUCGUUUGCCUUUUGGAACCGAGAAAUUGUUCACUGUCAAGGAUUCAAUUAUCUAGCCUGGUAAAGGAUUGUGAUCAUCUUCAGAAGUUGGUCUUGGGAAGAUAUAAGGACCUUCUUUGAAGUUUCCAUUAUUUAGUAUAGAUUGGUUGCAAAUUGUUGAAUCAAACAACAGGUUAGUGAAUUAUGAACUUCUAUUUCAAUCAUAAAAUGUCAAUGUGAUCGAGUUUAUAUACCUCGAGUACGUUUUGGAUUGUACAAGGUCUUCAAUGCAACUGAAUCAACAAUGGGGCCACAAGCUACAUUUGUCCUCUAGCCUGGAUUAUGUAUUGGGAUCUCAAUUACAUGCGCAUCAACUUGGAAUGCCUAUGCAUAUGAAUCCCACCCAUUGCUAGUAUCUUCAGAACUAGUUUCUGAAUGCAAAUUUUAGGUUGUCGAGUAGGGUUUAUUUUUCCAUAUAUGCAGAUGACAUUGGUUUUCUUUCACAGCAAGUUCUGGAAACCUGCUGAUAUGCUAGAGUCAGAAAAACUUGCAAAAGGAAUACAUGAUUCCUUACU
Molecule: long non-coding RNA, 3494 nt
Organism: Gossypium raimondii (Peruvian cotton)
Lineage: Eukaryota; Viridiplantae; Streptophyta; Magnoliopsida; Malvales; Malvaceae
Exons: 3
Source: RefSeq, a predicted model, not a curated record